This 498-nucleotide ribosomal RNA is filed under the name uncultured bacterium. Its description in RNAcentral is "partial 16S ribosomal RNA". It matches the Rfam family "Bacterial small subunit ribosomal RNA", at positions 30 to 523 of the family's 1533-position model. The record is from RNAcentral.
AUUGAACGCUGGCGGCAUGCCUUACACAUGCAAGUCGAACGGUAACAGGUCUUCGGAUGCUGACGAGUGGCGAACGGGUGAGUAAUACAUCGGAACGUGCCUAGUAGUGGGGGAUAACUACUCGAAAGAGUGGCUAAUACCGCAUGAGAUCUACGGAUGAAAGCAGGGGAUCGAAAGACCUUGUGCUACUAGAGCGGCGGAUGGCAGAUUAGGUAGUUGGUGGGAUAAAAGCUUACCAAGCCGACGAUCUGUAGCUGGUCUGAGAGGACGAUCAGCCACACUGGGACUGAGACACGGCCCAGACUCCUACGGGAGGCAGCAGUGGGGAAUUUUGGACAAUGGGCGAAAGCCUGAUCCAGCAAUGCCGCGUGCAGGAUGAAGGCCUUCGGGUUGUAAACUGCUUUUGUACGGAACGAAAAGCCCCGGGUUAAUACCCUGGGGUCAUGACGGUACCGUAAGAAUAAGCACCGGCUAACUACAUGCCAGCCGCCGCCGUAA